Molecule: long non-coding RNA, 416 nt
Filed under: Populus tremula
Lineage: Eukaryota; Viridiplantae; Streptophyta; Magnoliopsida; Malpighiales; Salicaceae
Description: long non-coding RNA (PTRE_LNC003092)
Source: RNAcentral
AAAGGCAACUCAAUUUCGGCAAACGGGGCAUCGAAGUCGGAAUGUCGCGAAACUCACCAAUUCAAAGCGUUUCGCCCUUUGCAGAAGAAGUGUGAUGUGGACCAAGUAGCAGAAGCAUACAUGCUCAAGAGGGAUCACCCGAAAUUCAAAGGCAGCUGAAUUUCGGCAACCGGGGCAUCGAAGUCGGAAAGUCGGGAAACUCACCGAGUUAAAGCGUUUCUCCGUUAGCGAAAGAAGUUUGAUGUGGAACAAGUACUAGAAGCAUACAUAUUCAAGAGGGAUCACCCGAAAUUCAAAUGCAACUCAAUUUCGGCAACCGGGGCAUCGAAGUCGGAAUGCCGCGAAACUCACCGAUUCAAAGCGUUUCGCCGUUUGCGGAAGAAGUUUGAUGUGGAACAAGUACCAGAAGCAUACAU